Molecule: RNA transcript, 1411 nt
Organism: Manis pentadactyla (Chinese pangolin)
Lineage: Eukaryota; Metazoa; Chordata; Mammalia; Pholidota; Manidae
Exons: 5
Source: RefSeq, a predicted model, not a curated record
ACUAUAAGUUUCAAAUAUUUUACUUACAGACCCAAGUUCUUGCCUUCAAAGCCCAAAACUUAAAACCCUUUGAAUGUGUGAUUCUUCACACCCUUCCACAUGGAGAACACUACAAUACUGCAACACUUAGCUUGUAUCUUCAACAAGCCACAUCUGUUCUAGUCUCGGUACCUUCCAAUAUACUUUUCGCAUCCUGUGGGGGAUAUAAUUUAAAACAAAAUCCCCUUCCAACCCAGAAAACCUCUCCACAAAGUAAAUUUUUGCGUUGUUUUCUCUUUAAACAUCAAUUCAUAGUAUGAUGGCGCAUUACAGGCAAGCAUAAAGGGCCGCAGAGACAAAAGGAAGCCUCGCUCUCUGUAGCUGCGUGGACACGACCCGCUACCCUGGACAGGUCGCACAACUUGCAGUCGGGUGACAGACAGGUGACCCCUGAGUUCCAGGAUAGCGUGCGGCCGGGCUAUAGAUGCCCGGACAACCGCACCUGAACACGAGUGCCCGGUGCUUGGAAGGCCUGCAUCGGACUGCCGUGCCUCCGCCACUUGGGCUCACGCCGGCGCAGUACUCCCACAGGUCCACUACAGGCGCCAGGGUCGGGCGCGACCUCCUUCGGCCCGCCUCCGUCGCUCCCUCGACGCGGCCGGCUGCGCAGGCGCGCCCGCCCGUCACUAGACUUCCGCUCCGGGUCCUCGGGGGUUCACGUAGCAGCCUCUCGGGACGCCAUUUCGCAGCGCUGAUGGGUCACGUGAUUCGAGAGCGGCUGCCGGCAUGGCUGCUAGCCGUUGCUAGGCUUUGCGGCCGAAGGACCGUCCUGGGCGGUGUCAGCCCUCUACUGAAACGGGUCAGGAAGGACCUCGCUGCAGCCCAUCCCUUCCUACCACCUGGCAGUUACCUGCGCCCAUGGGCUACAGGAAGAAAACCAGUUCAGGGGCAGAUGCUUGAAGACACCAGCCUUCACAGGACUGCCAUCUGGGAGACAGCUCCACAUGAGUCUCCUUCCUGCAGUCCUAGGAGUGAGGUGCUGGCCCAGAUGGGCUCUUCAAAGUCAGGGAGCUGUGCAUCCUACCGGAAUCCAUGAACUGGCACGCCAUGUUGUCACCUGGUGGGGGCGCUUCACAGUUCCUGACAGGUUUGGGCACCAUGUGGUCUGCUUCUGGAGCAUGGACACCUGCUGUGUACUGGGACCUGGGCCCCCUGCCAUCUCCUGAACAGGAAAAGGACAUUUAAUAAAUGGUUCUUACAGUGUAGCACAGAGAAGACACGUAGUGACUCUGUGGCAUCUUACUAUACUGAUGGACAGUGACUGCAAUGAGAUGUGGGUGGGAUUUGAUAAUAUGGGUGAAUGUAGUAACCACAAUGUUUUUCAUGUGAAACCUUAAUUAAAAAAAAAAAACGGUUCUCAGAGUGCAAUUCA